This 253-nucleotide ribosomal RNA is filed under the name uncultured microorganism. Its description in RNAcentral is "partial 16S ribosomal RNA". It matches the Rfam family "Bacterial small subunit ribosomal RNA", at positions 524 to 776 of the family's 1533-position model. The record is from RNAcentral.
UACGUAGGGUGCGAGCGUUAAUCGGAUUUACUGGGCGUAAAGCGUGCGCAGGCGGCCCGUUAAGACAGGUGUGAAAUCCCUGGGCUCAACCUAGGAAUUGCGCUUGUGACUGGCGGGCUCGAGUACGGUAGAGGGGGGUGGAAUUCCUGGUGUAGCAGUGAAAUGCGUAGAGAUCAGGAGGAACACCGAUGGCGAAGGCAGCGCCCUGGGCGUGUACUGACGCUCAUGCACGAAAGCGUGGGGAGCAAACAGG